RNAcentral lists this long non-coding RNA (274 nucleotides) under Elaeis guineensis (African oil palm). Its description in RNAcentral is "long non-coding RNA (EGUI_LNC000644)". The record is from RNAcentral. Lineage: Eukaryota; Viridiplantae; Streptophyta; Magnoliopsida; Arecales; Arecaceae.
GUAAAUGACCUGGAGAGCCGUGUUUGGAGCAUCAAUUGGUUCUUUAGCCUGGACACAGAUCUGGAGGCAUAGAGGUAAGAGGGAAACUAACGAACUCACCAUUCCCCCGGUAAGGUACUUGAGGAGGAGGCAAGCCAGGGAAGAACCCAGCAACUGGGCGAUGAUGUAAAGGAUAGACCGAAAGAGGGUGAUGUGGCCGCCGACGGCGAGUCCCAGCGUCACCGCCGGGUUGAGGUGGCCGCCGGAGAUGUGGAGCCCCGCCGAUAUCAUGACC